GAUGAACGCUAGCGAUAGGCUUAACACAUGCAAGUCGAGGGGCAGCGAGGGUAGCAAUACCUGUCGGCGACCGGCGCACGGGUGAGUAACGCGUAUGUAACCUGCCCGCAACAGGGGGAUAACCCGGCGAAAGUCGGACUAAUACCGCAUAAAACAGGGGUCCCGCAUGGGAAUAUUUGUUAAAGAUUUAUCGGUUGCGGAUGGGCAUGCGUACCAUUAGGUAGUUGGUGAGGUAACGGCUCACCAAGCCUUCGAUGGUUAGGGGUUCUGAGAGGAAGGUCCCCCACACUGGUACUGAGACACGGACCAGACUCCUACGGGAGGCAGCAGUGAGGAAUAUUGGUCAAUGGGCGAGAGCCUGAACCAGCCAAGUCGCGUGAAGGAUGACUGCCCUAUGGGUUGUAAACUUCUUCUACAAGGGAAUAAAAUGAGAUACGUGUAUUUUAUUGCAUGUACCUUGGGAAUAAGCAUCGGCUAACUCCGUG
RNAcentral lists this ribosomal RNA (485 nucleotides) under uncultured bacterium. RNAcentral's name for it is "partial 16S ribosomal RNA". It matches the Rfam family "Bacterial small subunit ribosomal RNA", at positions 28 to 507 of the family's 1533-position model. The record is from RNAcentral.